GACCCCCAACAAAAUUAAAUUUUAUUUUAUGAUUUUUCUAUGAUUUAUUAUAAUUUUUAAAAUAUUCAGCAGAAAUAAAUAAAUAAAAAGACAAAACUAUCCUCUAAAACCACUAUAAGGGGUUAUUUAACCGGUUUUCAAAGUUCAGGGUGUAGAAUAUCCAGUUUUAUAGUUUUUGUUCCACCCUAAAUAGUUUGAGGGGUUAUUUACUCCCUGCGUCCCAUAAAUAAAUGCAUUUCUUUGACUUCUAUGAUUUAUGUUUGACCGUUUGUCUUAUUCAAAAAUUAUAAUAAAUAUUAUUUAUUUAUGACUUGUUUUCUUGUUAGAUAUAUUUUUAUAAUGAUUUAUUUAUUUUAUUAUUUGCACAAAAAAUUUAAAUAAGGCAAAUAGUCAAACAUGUAGCAGUCAAAGAAAUGCAUUUAUUUGUGGAACGGAGGGAGUAGACUUUUUAUUUUUUUGUCUUUUUUUCCUCUAACCACCGCUUUGACCACCGAGAGGUUAGAAGAUACCAGAAACACUCUUUUCUUUUUUUUCUAUCCAAAUACACAUCACAGAGAGCAGCACAACGCAACAUGAAAAAAAAUGUAGGUGGACACGUGUGCCAAUCAAACAUUUGAGGUGACGUGUCCCAUCUACUUUGCGUCCUUCAACCUGGCCAUUGUAGAGAGUAAUUAUAAAAUUGUGUAGUAAGUCUUUGCUUGUCACCCUAGGCUCGUAAGAUCAUAUAGCUGGCUUAGGACACUCACAAUGCAAGACUCUAUUAUAGAGUCCAAGACAAUUAAUUACAUAUUAUUUAUGGUAUUUUACUGAUAUGACAACAUAUUUAUUAAGAAAGAGGUAGCAAAAAUAAGACUCCAAGUCUUAUUUAGACUCUAAGUCCACAUUGUUCGAGGUAAUAAAUAACUUUAGACUCUAUGAUAGAGUCUGCAUUGUGAGUGCUCUUAUUAAGUUCGAGAACUGUGUAUUACGUCUAUCACCCUAGGGCCUAGGCUUGUAAGAUCAUAGCUAGGCCUUGUUUAGUUCCGAAAAGAUUUCGAAUUUCGAUACUGUAGUAUUUUUGUUUUUAUUUGACAAAUAUUAUCAAUCAUGGACUAACUAGGCUCAAAAGAUUCAUCUCGUGAUUUACAGUCAAACUGUGUGAUUAGUUUUUGUUUUUGUCUAUAUUUAAUGUUUUAUGCAUAUGCCGCAAGAUUCGAUGUGACAGGAAAUCUUGAAAACUUUUUGAAUUUCGGGGUGAACUAAACAAGGCCCUAGUGUAGGAACCUUGUUAUCUAUUGGGCCAUUCAUCCCACUCAAGCCAUCAUUAAAUCCUUUCACCUUUGCGCAUUUUGACAAAACUAGGAACCCGGUUUGAAAACCAGCCGCGUAGCAGAGAACUUUAGUUGUCGAGGUGAAUUAUUUUUCCCAUAUAAUUCGUGAAGAAAGUUUAUAUCUUUCAACUGUUAAGAUAGACGACGGUGUAGGCACUAGGUGACACAUUGGCUGUCCCUAGCUAUAACCUCACCCAAUUACAAUUGCAGCCCCAAUUCAUCAGCUUAGCAGCUGAGGCCUUGUUUAGUUCCGAAAAGAUUUCGGAUUUCGCUACUGUAGCACUUUCGUUUGUUUGUGACAAAUAUUAUUCAAUUAUGGACUAACUAGGAUCAAAAUAUUCGUCUCGUGAUUUCCAGCUAAACUAUGUAAUUAGUUUUUGAUUUCGUCUAUAUUUAAUGCUUUAUACAUGUGCCGCAAGAUUCGAUGUGACGGAGAAUCUUUAAAACUUUUUGCUUUUUGGAUGAACUAAACAAGGCCUGAUCGACAAAGCAGCUUGACAUGGCACCACAAUAUCCAAUGAUUCU
RNAcentral lists this long non-coding RNA (1835 nucleotides) under Sorghum bicolor (sorghum). RNAcentral describes it as "long non-coding RNA (SBIC_LNC013559)". The record is from RNAcentral. Lineage: Eukaryota; Viridiplantae; Streptophyta; Magnoliopsida; Poales; Poaceae.